UUUAAAUGCUGCUGACGUGAAUGAUCAAGUCAUGAUUGUUUAUGAAAUUUAAGCAAUGAAGUUGAAGUUCUUGUCACCUGUUGUAUGUUUCUAUGGUUACGGUAACUUUCUGCUCAGAGAUGCUGGGAUCCACAACCUUCUGACAAAGAGGAAAGUACACCCAGAAUUAAGCAUGUGUUGUAUGGAAUUAUUGCUCAUAGAUCGUCAACAUAUCCAGGGUUGAUUGAUGCAGCAAAAGAUGGACAUCCUUUUAUGUGAGUGAAAUACUGCAGGCUGAAAAUGAUUUUGAUUUGAAUGUCUGCAACAGUAAAAGUGUUAUGGUAAUCCA
This is a long non-coding RNA of Haliotis rubra (blacklip abalone), 328 nucleotides long. RefSeq lists it as uncharacterized. NCBI's taxonomy places the organism in Eukaryota, Metazoa, Mollusca, Gastropoda, Lepetellida, Haliotidae. The record is from RefSeq and is a predicted model, not a curated record. The transcript is spliced from 2 exons.